RNAcentral lists this small nuclear RNA (234 nucleotides) under Tursiops truncatus (common bottlenose dolphin). RNAcentral's name for it is "7SK RNA (ENSTTRG00000025175.1)". It matches the Rfam family "7SK RNA". Rfam says of the family: 7SK was discovered as an abundant small nuclear RNA in the mid-70s but a possible function has only recently been suggested. Two independent studies have found that 7SK RNA binds the CDK9/cyclin T complex (known as elongation factor P-TEFb). The record is from RNAcentral. Lineage: Eukaryota; Metazoa; Chordata; Mammalia; Artiodactyla; Delphinidae.
GGAUGUAGGGGAUAUUCCACUGUGGCAUCAGUGACCCCCUGGAUUGCCAGGGUUGGUUGGCUGGGCAGGUGUCCCCUCUCUCCCCUGCUGCUCUGUGCAUGCUACCUCUUGACUGCGGGAGGCACAAUCUUCAGUCAAGGUUGAGAGAGGAGCUGUGUUCCCUGCUAGAAGCUCGUCACCUCCCCGGGCCCCUGUUUCCUUAUCUAUAAAACAGGAAAAUUAGGCAGAUGCUCU